GCUUUUGUAGCUUAGUAGGUAAAGCUGUUGAUUUGUAAUCAACUGUCUCGGGUUCGAUUCCUGACAAAAGUA
This 72-nucleotide transfer RNA is filed under the name Candidatus Carsonella ruddii PV. Its description in RNAcentral is "tRNA-Thr (TGT) (tRNA-Thr-TGT-1-1)". It matches the Rfam family "tRNA". From Rfam's summary of the family: Transfer RNA (tRNA) molecules are approximately 80 nucleotides in length. Their secondary structure includes four short double-helical elements and three loops (D, anti-codon, and T loops). Lineage: Bacteria; Pseudomonadati; Pseudomonadota; Gammaproteobacteria; Oceanospirillales; Halomonadaceae. The record is from RNAcentral.